GGAGGCGGUGGGCACCGUGCGGCUGCUGCACCGCAUCUGCCGGGUGUACGCCGGGGUCGGCACGGCCGUGCCGGUGUUCGGCUUCGCCACCGCCUCCGCCA
Molecule: transfer RNA, 101 nt
Filed under: Streptomyces noursei
Lineage: Bacteria; Bacillati; Actinomycetota; Actinomycetes; Kitasatosporales; Streptomycetaceae
Description: tRNA-Gly
Source: RNAcentral